RNAcentral lists this ribosomal RNA (301 nucleotides) under uncultured bacterium. Its description in RNAcentral is "partial 16S ribosomal RNA". It matches the Rfam family "Bacterial small subunit ribosomal RNA", at positions 509 to 807 of the family's 1533-position model. The record is from RNAcentral.
CAGUCGCCGCGGUAAUACGAAGGGCGCAAGCGUUACUCGGAAUUACUGGGCGUAAAGCGUGCGUAGGUGGUGGUUUAAGUCCGUUGUGAAAGCCCUGGGCUCAACCUGGGAAUUGCAGUGGAUACUGGGUCACUAGAGUGUGGUAGAGGAUAGUGGAAUUUCCGGUGUAGCAGUGAAAUGCGUAGAGAUCGGAAGGAACAUCUGUGGCGAAGGCGACUAUCUGGGCCAACACUGACACUGAGGCACGAAAGCGUGGGGAGCAAACAGGAUUAGAUACCCGCGUAGUCCCUGUCUCUUAUAC